This 395-nucleotide ribosomal RNA is filed under the name uncultured bacterium. RNAcentral's name for it is "bacterial SSU rRNA". It matches the Rfam family "Bacterial small subunit ribosomal RNA", at positions 29 to 420 of the family's 1533-position model. The record is from RNAcentral.
AUUGAACGCUGGCGGCAUGCCUAACACAUGCAAGUCGAACGGCAGCACGGCAGUAGCAAUACUGUGGGUGGCGAGUGGCGGACGGGUGAGGAAUACGUCGGAAUCUGCCCAGUCGUGGGGGAUAACUAGCCGAAAGGUUAGCUAAUACCGCAUACGACCGAGAGGUGAAAGCGGGGGACCGCAAGGCCUCGCGCGAUUGGAUGAGCCGACGUCGGAUUAGCUAGUUGGAGGGGUAAAGGCCACCAAGGCGACGAUCCGUAGCUGGUCUGAGAGGAUGAUCAGCCACACUGGAACUGAGACACGGUCCAGACUCCUACGGGAGGCAGCAGUGGGGAAUAUUGGACAAUGGGCGCAAGCCUGAUCCAGCAAUGCCGCGUGUGUGAAGAAGGCCUCGG